This 203-nucleotide long non-coding RNA is filed under the name Lathyrus oleraceus (garden pea). RNAcentral's name for it is "Pisum sativum (pea) long non-coding RNA (PSAT_LNC007843)". Lineage: Eukaryota; Viridiplantae; Streptophyta; Magnoliopsida; Fabales; Fabaceae. The record is from RNAcentral.
UUCAACCAUGAGUCAUAGAAUAUAAGCUAUCAGCUAAUAAUUAUUUUUAACAAACAAAGCUUAAAUGUAUUUGAUAUAAAAUUUGAGCCAGAUUCAUUAAAAAUUAAAAGUAAUUUAAAUGUUUUAAAUUAUAUUUUAUUUUGAAUGAAGAAAUAUUUAAAAAAUUGACUCAGAUCCAAGACCUAAUUAAGGGGGUGGUUGGU